Long non-coding RNA from Pongo pygmaeus (Bornean orangutan), 1176 nucleotides. RefSeq lists it as uncharacterized. Lineage: Eukaryota; Metazoa; Chordata; Mammalia; Primates; Hominidae. The transcript has 9 exons. The record is from RefSeq and is a predicted model, not a curated record.
GGUCGCGGGGGACCGCCUGGGGAUCCCCGCACGGCGGCGAGGAGUGACGGUUGGCUCGGGCUGCUUUCCUCCCUCCACCGCCUGCUUGUUUCGCCAUGCGCGGGCCGGACGGUGGGGCUGCAGCGGUGAAAGCGACUGAAGUCCGGGAGCAGUCGCAUGAGCUUCCCGGUCACCAGGAGGCCCCGGGAACAGACACCUCACCCUGACAUUGUGGCAGGAACUUCUGGAUUGCUUUCCAAAGUGGCUGCACUGUUUUCUAUCCCCACUGGUAAAUGGCAGGAAAACAUCUAAGAAUGGAGGCUCCCCCUUCCCUUGCAGGGUGACCAGCAAUUAAAAAGAAGUACUAGAGAGGCAAAUAUUGGCAGUAUACAUCUGAAAAGAAGGAACUCAGCCCAAGAACUUGCCCAAUCUGAUACUGGAGAUGCCACUCAAGAACCACUCCCUCCAAGAUGUUUUCCUGGAUUUCCUCAGCCUAAAGUAAUCCCUCUUUUUCCUGGCUAUACCAUGUGGAACAGAUGACUUCCAAGGACACCGUAGCAAAGAAAAAGAGAACUGGAAGCUCAUGUGCCUUAAUCGCCUCAUCCUAGAGGGCUCGGCAGUCUGGAAAUAGAAACAAUGGUGGUGGAUCGAUUCAAUUGAUCCAGAUUUGGAAGUUGCGUGGCAGAUGAAUGUGUUUCUCGCAAACUUGGGGGCCAAUCUGGGAUCUCUGUGCCUGCGUGGAGUUGGACUCCGGCCAAGAGGGGAGAGGCGUCCCACCUGAUUUAAGUGGCCUGCUCUGUCUGGGAAUCCCGGCUCCCUGCAGAGGCCAUAGACAAACCUGAGACUGUUAUUCAGGAGGCAGUGGAGGUGACACAGGGAGAAAAGCAGGCACCGUGGCAACCAGGCAACCUCAUAUACGAGCCAAGUGAACUACAGGAGCAUGUGAGGAAUAACUCUGCCCAGAGGAACCUGUUCAAAUCCCAGGGUCUGUGGCUUUUGUGUGCAGAGGAACAGCUCUGUCAUGGCAACCUGACAACAGAGACCACACAGACAAAGACUUGACCUGCAGUUUAUCUGAAUCUUGGCAGAACUCCUUGUGAUCUUCUCGGUGUACAAGAGGAUAAGAAGUCCCUUUUGUUUUGAUGUCAUCCUUUUUGGUGUGUGAAACAAGGACCACAGGGAGCUGGCACCUUUGGC